RNAcentral lists this long non-coding RNA (207 nucleotides) under Lathyrus oleraceus (garden pea). Its description in RNAcentral is "Pisum sativum (pea) long non-coding RNA (PSAT_LNC039434)". The record is from RNAcentral. Lineage: Eukaryota; Viridiplantae; Streptophyta; Magnoliopsida; Fabales; Fabaceae.
CAAUUCAAAGUCUUUUUCUUGUUACUACCAAUGAAUUUUAAUGCAGACUCUCCCUAAAUCUAAGACUCAUUCACUUCCACUCUAACACUUAUCCUAAUAUUUGCAAGUCUCGAUAAUAAGAACGUGAUGACCUUCACGAAUACAAACUAAAACUCUAUCGCCCAAUGAAUCAUGGAAAAUAACAUAAGACAAGGUUUAAACACAAAC